GCACUGGCCUCGACAGUGUAAACAGAGAGAGGGCCGGUGCUAUAGAUGUGGACAACCUGGACAUAUGAGGGCGGCUUGUCCCUGAGCAGCAUCACCAGCACCAUCGACAGCUUCAGCACAGCCAGGGCCUCAGCAGUCUGUUGGAGCAGCACCGAGUCACUGCCAGGAAGACUCUACAGCAGUCGACCGAGCGGUGGCAGCCAUCAUUUUGAUUCUGACAUUAGAGCUCGUACUUUAUUUGAUACCUGUGCAUCAUAUCCUUUUAUUAGCCGAGCUUUUGCAUCAU
This 286-nucleotide long non-coding RNA is filed under the name Ananas comosus (pineapple). Its description in RNAcentral is "long non-coding RNA (ACOM_LNC042707)". The record is from RNAcentral. Lineage: Eukaryota; Viridiplantae; Streptophyta; Magnoliopsida; Poales; Bromeliaceae.